GUAGUUCAGUGGCAGAGCAUCUGCUUUGCAUGCAGAAGGUACCAGGUUCAAUCCCUGGCACCCCCA
Non-coding RNA from Podarcis lilfordi (Lilford's wall lizard), 66 nucleotides. The record is from the annotation of a GenBank genome assembly. NCBI's taxonomy places the organism in Eukaryota, Metazoa, Chordata, Lepidosauria, Squamata, Lacertidae.